This 253-nucleotide ribosomal RNA is filed under the name uncultured bacterium. RNAcentral's name for it is "partial 16S ribosomal RNA". It matches the Rfam family "Bacterial small subunit ribosomal RNA", at positions 524 to 776 of the family's 1533-position model. The record is from RNAcentral.
UACGGAGGGUGCGAGCGUUGUCCGGAAUCACUGGGCGUAAAGGGCGCGUAGGCGGCCUGAUAAGUAGGGGGUGAAAUCCUGCGGCUUAACCGCAGGGCUGCCUUCUAAACUGUCGGGCUAGAGCACGGUAGAGGCAGAUGGAAUUCCCGGUGUAGCGGUGGAAUGCGUAGAGAUCGGGAAGAACAUCAGUGGCGAAAGCGACUUCCUGGACCAAUACUGACGCUCAUGUGCGAAAGCGUGGGGAGCAAACAGG